ACUCAAAUGAAUAGACGGGGACCCGCACAAGCGGUGGAUGAUGUGGAUUAAUUCGAUGCAACGCGAAAAACCUUACCUACCCUUGACAUGCCCGGAAGCUCGCAGAGAUGUGAGCGUGCCCGAAAGGGAGCCGGGACACAGGUGCUGCAUGGCUGUCGUCAGCUCGUGUCGUGAGAUGUUGGGUUAAGUCCCGCAACGAGCGCAACCCUUGUCACUAGUUGCUACGAAAGGGCACUCUAGUGAGACUGCCGGUGACAAACCGGAGGAAGGUGGGGAUGACGUCAAGUCCUCAUGGCCCUUAUGGGUAGGGCUUCACACGUCAUACAAUGGCCGGUACAAAGGGCUGCCAACCCGCGAGGGGGAGCCAAUCCCAGAAAACCGGUCGUAGUCCGGAUUGCAGUCUGCAACUCGACUGCAUGAAGUCGGAAUCGCUAGUAAUCGCGGAUCAGCAUGUCGCGGUGAAUACGUUCCCGGGUCUUGUACACACCGCCCGU
This 494-nucleotide ribosomal RNA is filed under the name uncultured bacterium. RNAcentral's name for it is "partial 16S ribosomal RNA". It matches the Rfam family "Bacterial small subunit ribosomal RNA", at positions 899 to 1397 of the family's 1533-position model. The record is from RNAcentral.